This 497-nucleotide ribosomal RNA is filed under the name uncultured bacterium. RNAcentral describes it as "partial 16S ribosomal RNA". It matches the Rfam family "Bacterial small subunit ribosomal RNA", at positions 28 to 507 of the family's 1533-position model. The record is from RNAcentral.
GAUGAACGCUGGCGGCGUGCCUAAUACAUGCAAGUCGAGCGAACAGACGAGGAGCUUGCUCCUCUGACGUUAGCGGCGGACGGGUGAGUAACACGUGGAUAACCUACCUAUAAGACUGGGAUAACUUCGGGAAACCGGAGCUAAUACCGGAUAAUAUAUUGAACCGCAUGGAUCAAUAGUGAAAGACGGUUUUGCUGUCACUUAUAGAUGGAUCCGCGCCGCAUUAGCUAGUUGGUAAGGUAACGGCUUACCAAGGCGACGAUGCGUAGCCGACCUGAGAGGGUGAUCGGCCACACUGGAACUGAGACACGGGCCAGACUCCUACGGGAGGCAGCAGUAGGGAAUCUUCCGCAAUGGGCGAAAGCCUGACGGAGCAACGCCGCGUGAGCGAUGAAGGUCUUCGGAUCGUAAAACUCUGUUAUUAGGGAAGAACAAAUGUGUAAGUAACUAUGCACGUCUUGACGGUACCUAAUCAGAAAGCCACGGCUAACUACGUG